RNAcentral lists this ribosomal RNA (496 nucleotides) under Ophioplinthaca defensor. RNAcentral's name for it is "partial large subunit ribosomal RNA". It matches the Rfam family "Bacterial large subunit ribosomal RNA", at positions 1824 to 2604 of the family's 2925-position model. Lineage: Eukaryota; Metazoa; Echinodermata; Ophiuroidea; Amphilepidida; Ophiacanthidae. The record is from RNAcentral.
CAUUGCUUCCAGAAUAAGAUUGAGAGGUACGACCUGCCCGGUGACUUUAGGGUUAAACGGCUGCAGUACUCUGACUGUGCAAAGGUAGCAUAAUCAUUUGCCUAGUAAUUUUAGGCUAGAAUCAACGGUUAGACGAAGGAUGAGCUGUCUCCUUUUAAUUUAGCUGAACUUAGCUUUGGAGUGAAGAGACUUUAAUAAGUGAGUGGGACGAGAAGACCCUAUUGAGCUUUAACUUAGUUAAAAAUAAAGUUUUAAUAAAGUUUGGAUUGGGGCAAUUCUUUUUAUAAUAAAACAAAAGUUAAGUAUAAUGAAUUUAUACUAUAAGACCCUGAACUUAUCGGAAACAAGAAAAAGUUACCAUAGGGAUAACAGCGUUAUUUUUCUUGAGAGUACAUAUUGACAGAAAAGUUUGCGACCUCGAUGUUGGAUUAAGAUAACCUGGAUGUGCAGCAGCCUCCAAUGGUUGGUUUGUUCAACCAUUAAAAUCUUACGUGAU